CCUAAUACAUGCAAGUCGAGCGAACAGAAGGGAGCUUGCUCCCGGAUGUUAGCGGCGGACGGGUGAGUAACACGUGGGUAACCUGCCUGUAAGACUGGGAUAACUCCGGGAAACCGGAGCUAAUACCGGAUAGUUCCUUGAACCGCAUGGUUCAAGGAUGAAAGACGGUUUCGGCUGUCACUUACAGAUGGACCCGCGGCGCAUUAGCUAGUUGGUGGGGUAAUGGCUCACCAAGGCGACGAUGCGUAGCCGACCUGAGAGGGUGAUCGGCCACACUGGGACUGAGACACGGCCCAGACUCCUACGGGAGGCAGCAGUAGGGAAUCUUCCGCAAUGGACGAAAGUCUGACGGAGCAACGCCGCGUGAGUGAUGAAGGUUUUCGGAUCGUAAAGCUCUGUUGUUAGGGAAGAACAAGUGCGAGAGUAACUGCUCGCACCUUGACGGUACCUAACCAGAAAGCCACGGCUAACUACGUGCCAGCAGCCGCGGUAAUACGUAGGUGGCAAGCGUUGUCCGGAAUUAUUGGGCGUAAAGGGCUCGCAGGCGGUUUCUUAAGUCUGAUGUGAAAGCCCCCGGCUCAACCGGGGAGGGUCAUUGGAAACUGGGAAACUUGAGUGCAGAAGAGGAGAGUGGAAUUCCACGUGUAGCGGUGAAAUGCGUAGAGAUGUGGAGGAACACCAGUGGCGAAGGCGACUCUCUGGUCUGUAACUGACGCUGAGGAGCGAAAGCGUGGGGAGCGAACAGGAUUAGAUACCCUGGUAGUCC
RNAcentral lists this ribosomal RNA (766 nucleotides) under Bacillus sp. AD-A12. RNAcentral's name for it is "bacterial SSU rRNA". It matches the Rfam family "Bacterial small subunit ribosomal RNA", at positions 47 to 796 of the family's 1533-position model. The record is from RNAcentral. Lineage: Bacteria; Bacillati; Bacillota; Bacilli; Caryophanales; Bacillaceae.